This 83-nucleotide transfer RNA is filed under the name Peptococcaceae bacterium. Its description in RNAcentral is "tRNA-Leu". It matches the Rfam family "tRNA". From Rfam's summary of the family: Transfer RNA (tRNA) molecules are approximately 80 nucleotides in length. Their secondary structure includes four short double-helical elements and three loops (D, anti-codon, and T loops). The record is from RNAcentral. Lineage: Bacteria; Bacillati; Bacillota; Clostridia; Eubacteriales; Peptococcaceae. RNAcentral also lists the same sequence under 2 other names.
GCGGACGUGGCGGAAUUGGCAGACGCACCAGACUUAGGAUCUGGCGAGCAAUCGUGAGGGUUCAAGUCCCUCCGUCCGCACCA